RNAcentral lists this ribosomal RNA (460 nucleotides) under uncultured bacterium. RNAcentral's name for it is "partial 16S ribosomal RNA". It matches the Rfam family "Bacterial small subunit ribosomal RNA", at positions 338 to 795 of the family's 1533-position model. The record is from RNAcentral.
CCUACGGGAGGCUGCAGUGAGGAAUAUUGGUCAAUGGUCGAAAGCCUGAACCAGCCAAGUCGCGUGCAGGAUGACGGCCCUAUGGUUUGUAAACUGCUUUUAUACGGGAAUAAAGUGCGUAACGUGUUCUUUUUUGUAUGUACCGUAUGAAUAAGGAUCGGCUAAUUCCGUGCCAGCAGCCGCGGUAAUACGGAGGGUGCGGGCGUUAUCCGGAUUUAUUGGGUUUAAAGGGUGCGUAGGUGGUUAAUUAAGUCAGCGGUGAAAGUUUGUGGCUCAACCAUAAAAUUGCCGGUGAAACUGGUUGACUUGAGUAUAUUUAAGGUAGGCGGAAUGCGUGGUGUAGCGGUGAAAUGCAUAGAUAUCACGCAGAACUCCGAUUGCGAAGGCAGCUUACUAAACUAUAACUGACACUGAAGCACGAAAGCGUGGGGAUCAAACAGGAUUAGAUACCCUUGUAGUC